RNAcentral lists this long non-coding RNA (1205 nucleotides) under Homo sapiens (human). Its description in RNAcentral is "HSALNT0080124". Lineage: Eukaryota; Metazoa; Chordata; Mammalia; Primates; Hominidae. The record is from RNAcentral.
CUCACGAGAGCUGAUGGCUUUAUAUAUGGGAGUUUGCCUGCACAAGCUCUUUUGCCUGCGGCCACCUAAGACGUAACUUUGCUCCUUAUUCGCUUUCCGCCAUGAUUGUGAGGCCUCCCCCACCAUGUGGAACUCUUCUUCUAGAUGGGAUCGAACUUCCUCCUUUCGCUCAGAGAGGUUUGAUUGUCUGAAGCCUUCUUCUCUCAACUUGUCAAAGUCAUUCUCCAUCUAGGUUUGUCCGUUGCUGAAAACGUCCUAAUAAGAAGAUAAGGUGACCGAAUAAGGGGAUUACUUGGCAGAGAUAUGAGAGAACUGGGUUCUUGACCCCACUUUGCCAUGAACUUGGGGGAAAAUUCACCACUGAGCUCAAGCAUUGUAAGACAUCCUGUUCUAAGGAGGGAUGAGGACAAAUCCUCUACUGUUCCCAACAGUUGCACAGGGCACUGCAUCUACAGUUACCCUGAGAACUACAAGCAGGAGGUGAAAGAGCUGAGUCAGCCAAGGUCAUCUGGGGACCUAUCCACUGGCAGGCAGAGGAGCCUUUCCCUGUGGCCACCACUGCCUUCAGCCCAUAAGGGAGUUUUUCCAGGCUACCUCCGAUGAUCACUUAAAGCUCAACAGCUCUUCAUUCAGCUUGUGAGAUAGCCAGUCAUGGGACUGCUGGAUCAACUGGUAGGUACUAUUUUUAGUUAUUUGAGAAAUCUCUUACUGUUUUCCAUAGAGGUUGCACUGGUUUACAUUCCCACCAAUAGUGGAUAACUGUUCCCUUUCCUCUGCAUCCCUGCCAACAUCUGUUGUUUUUUGACUUUUUUAUGAUAGCCAUUUUGACUGGUGUGAGAUGGUAUCUCGUUGUGAUUUUAAUUUGAAUUUCUCUGAUAAUGGGCAAUUUUGAACAUUUCUUCAUGUAUUUAUUGGGCAAUUGUAUGUUUUCUUUUGAAAAAUCUCUGUUCAUGUCCUUUGCCCACUUUUUAAUAGAGUUGUUUGUUUUUUCUUGCUGAGUUGAGUUCCUUGUAGAUUACUGAUAUUAGUCCUUUGUCAGAUGCAUGGUUUGCAAAUACUUUUUCCUAUUCUGUGCAUUGUCUCUUUACUCUGUUGCCUAUAUUUUUUGCUGUGCGGAGCUUUUUAGUUUAAGUCUCAUUUGUCUGUUUUUGCUGCAUUUAAUUUCGAGUUAUUAGUCAUAAAUUCUUUGCCUAGACCAAUGUCCA